Beta vulgaris subsp. vulgaris (sugar beet) is the source of this 119-nucleotide non-coding RNA. The record is from Rfam. Lineage: Eukaryota; Viridiplantae; Streptophyta; Magnoliopsida; Caryophyllales; Amaranthaceae.
GGGUGCGAUAAUACCGACACUAACGCAUUGGAUCCCAAUGGAACUCCGCAGUUAAGCGUCUUUGGACGAGAGUAGCACUAGGAUGGGUUACCUCCUAGGAAGUCCUCGUGUUGCACCCC